This 460-nucleotide ribosomal RNA is filed under the name uncultured bacterium. RNAcentral's name for it is "partial 16S ribosomal RNA". It matches the Rfam family "Bacterial small subunit ribosomal RNA", at positions 338 to 795 of the family's 1533-position model. The record is from RNAcentral.
CCUACGGGUGGCAGCAGUGAGGAAUAUUGGUCAAUGGACGAAAGUCUGAACCAGCCAUGCCGCGUGAAGGAAGACGGCUCUAUGGGUUGUAAACUGCUUUUGUACGGGAGUAAACCUGAAUACGUGUAUUCAGCUGAAAGUACUAUACGAAUAAGGAUCGGCUAACUCUGUGCCAGCAGCCGCGGUAAUACGGAGGAUCCGAGCGUUAUCCGGAUUUAUUGGGUUUAAAGGGUGCGUAGGCGGAUUGAUAAGUUAGUUGUGAAAGUUCCGGGCUUAACCCGGGAACUGCCUCUAAUACUGUUGAUCUAGAGAGUAGAUGCGGUAGGCGGAAUGUAUGGUGUAGCGGUGAAAUGCUUAGAGAUCAUAAAGAACACCGAUUGCGAAGGCAGUUCACCAAUCUAUAUCUGACGUUGAGGCACGAAAGCGUGGGGAGCAAACAGGAUUAGAUACCCCGGUAGUC